Molecule: ribosomal RNA, 666 nt
Filed under: Sporobolus scabridus
Lineage: Eukaryota; Viridiplantae; Streptophyta; Magnoliopsida; Poales; Poaceae
Description: eukaryotic LSU rRNA
Rfam family: 5.8S ribosomal RNA (bases 240-395)
Source: RNAcentral
ACCUGCGGAAGGAUCAUUGUCGUGACCCUAACCAAAAUAGACUGUGAAUAUGUUAUCCAUAUUGCCGGGUGAUGGUCCUUGCACUGCCUCUCGGCAUGGGCCCUUCUUCUUAAGGAAGUGAGGGUCCAAAAAAGAACCCACGGCGCCGGAUGGCGUCAAGGAACACUAAAGUUGUUUGCUCAGGGCUGUGUCUAGCAUGCUGGAUGAGCUCUGUGCUGUGAUGCUAUUUAAACCCAUAAGACUCUCGGCAACGGAUAUCUUGGCUCUCGCAUCGAUGAAGAACGUAGCAAAAUGCGAUACCUGGUGUGAAUUGCAGAAUCCCGUGAACCAUCGAGUUUUUGAACGCAAGUUGCGCCUGAGGCCGCUUGGUCGAGGGCACGUCUGCCUGGGCGUCAACCCCAAAGACACUCUCAUGCCAUCCUUGUGCGGGGAUGUGGCGUCUGGUCUUCCAUUCCAUUUGUAAGGAGUGGUGGGCUAAAGUAAGUGGCUGCUUGCUAUGGUGCAAGUCACAGCUCAUGGUGGAUGACAUGUGUUGUUCUCGGAGUUGUGACUUGUACUGAUUAAAGCGGCAUUGGCCUCACGACCCAUGGUCUCUGAGCAUAUCAUGCUUGCACCGUGACCCCAGGUCAGUCGGGAUUACCCGCUGAAUUUAAGCAUAUCAAUAAG